Epinephelus lanceolatus (giant grouper) is the source of this 242-nucleotide long non-coding RNA. RefSeq lists it as uncharacterized. The record is from RefSeq and is a predicted model, not a curated record. Lineage: Eukaryota; Metazoa; Chordata; Actinopteri; Perciformes; Serranidae.
UGGGCUCGGACGGAAGUGAUGAGAGUGAAAAUACCCUGUGUGACAGACUUGAAGAAAUGGCAUCGGCAGGACAGUGAAUCCUGCUGAUUCACAAGAAGAGGAAUGUGUUCACUUCCUGACGCGUGCGACUCCAUGAAGAUCACUUCCAUCAGAUGCUGUUACGGCCAAUUUUGAAGUGAAGAUGAAGGACUUCAGUUCCUCUGAUUAAUGAGGUGGUGGUAAUGCAAUAAAGCAGAUCCUCU